Rosa rugosa (rugosa rose) is the source of this 860-nucleotide long non-coding RNA. RefSeq lists it as uncharacterized. The record is from RefSeq and is a predicted model, not a curated record. NCBI's taxonomy places the organism in Eukaryota, Viridiplantae, Streptophyta, Magnoliopsida, Rosales, Rosaceae. The transcript is spliced from 2 exons.
AUAUAUAUACUCCUAUACUCCUCGCCCAGGAGGAGAGGGAAGAAACCUAGACACCAACAGAGACCUGCAGUGCCGCACCAAAAACAGGGCAGCCCCUUUGGGCUGCUCUCUUCUCCACCUUCCUCCUCCAUUUUUCCUCUUUUAUUUAUAUUUCUUUUAGCAAAUUACCAGUAACUACAGAUUUAUUCUUAUUAUUCCCAUGAGCAAAACACGAGGCUUCUUUUCCUUUGCGGUGAGAUGAGAUGGCCCAUACGGACAUCUAAAGUGCACGAAGACAAAUUCUAUCUUUUUUUAUUGACAAAAAUAUCCUUGGAUUUCUAAAAUAUAGAACAACAAAGAAAGACUGACGACAGUGUUUAGAGAGAGAGAGAGAGACAGAGCGAGAGAGAGGGAGGACUCAGAUCUAGAUUUAGAUCCGUAUCUAGAUCAAGAUCGAUCAAGGCCGACGGAUUUGAAUUUCAAUUUCUCACUCAAACAUGAAGUUUGAUCUGUAAAUUCAGCAAUUUGGGUUUCACACAAUGACUACCAAGAGAAAGAUUCGUAAUGUAAAGACAUAAACUAUAGGUAACACGAGAGCAAAAAACUCAAGGUCAGGAAGAGAGAUGAAGACCAAGAAUAUAGCAAAGGAGAAAAUACUAUUUUGUGCUGUACUGCAAAAUCAAUCUCAUAACUUGUUAUGAAAGUUGAAGGUGUUUUUGUGUGUAGGACGUUAAUCAAGUAUAACAUUGAAAAUGCUAUUACAAAAUAAUAAGGUUGCAAAUAUUACUGUUAGACAAUAGUAUUAUAUAAUGUUUUAGAUAGAUUUGGAUGGUGAGCAUGAUAUGAGUCAAAAAUUAAACAUUUUUUGCUUUUAUGUUGAA